Molecule: ribosomal RNA, 849 nt
Filed under: Triticum aestivum (bread wheat)
Lineage: Eukaryota; Viridiplantae; Streptophyta; Magnoliopsida; Poales; Poaceae
Description: partial small subunit ribosomal RNA
Source: RNAcentral
AUGCAGGCACGAGUCGGUCUACUAAUAUUGGACGUGAUGCCUAUCUCUCCAGAGCAUCUAAUUAAACCAUACAUUGAACCUAUGACUAAUGGGCUGGCCCGUCCGAAACCAAAGCCCUAUUUUCUACUAGUGUUGGAGCCCUUUCCCAUGGAGAUCACGUACGCCCUCGUCCUCUCAGCAUACCAUGUCCAAUACCUGGCCACCUACGUCAAGACACCUAACAGCAGGGUCGAGUCCAUCACCAGGGUCGACCCCGCCGGCCGCUCGGGCCUUGAGGUGAAGUACGACUCACAGUGGAGUUCUGUCAGCCUUUUUUCCACCAGUGAUGUCCAGGCCACCAAGCAGUACAAGUUGAAGCAUGGUGGCACGAGGUACAAAGGAGUCUUUUCAAGGCAAUCUAUCAGCGGAGCAUCAUCAUUGAAGAAUCUUUUUGCGAGGUUCCCUCCUCGAGUUCAUUCAGACUACUAUCAUGCUGAUAUUGGAAACAUCUCCACAUCCCAUCUGCUUAGUGAUUCAUACAAGAGAUUGGAUUCAAAACUAGAAACUGAACCAAGACAUCCACUGUUUGGUGGCUGGCACUGCACUUUCACCAUUUGCCAUGGCAUGCCAUUACAAGAUUUCUUGUUUGAAUUUGCUAAAGGUCGGCACUUUGCCAACCUUACAUUUGGAUGCCCCCUACUGCAUAUUAUGUUUGAUAAUCUUACCAUCAAGGGGUCGAAAAGUCCACAAGCUGUUUACGGUCGCGUGGUUGUGGUAAGCCUCCUCUCCACUCACAUUGUUAUUCAUCUAGAUAUGAAUAUAUGUAACACUAAAACAUGUCUAGGUACAUCCAUAUCUAGACAAGUCUGA